RNAcentral lists this ribosomal RNA (445 nucleotides) under uncultured bacterium. Its description in RNAcentral is "partial 16S ribosomal RNA". It matches the Rfam family "Bacterial small subunit ribosomal RNA", at positions 354 to 796 of the family's 1533-position model. The record is from RNAcentral.
GUGGGGAAUAUUGGUCAAUGGGCGGGAGCCUGAACCAGCCAAGUCGCGUGAAGGAAGAAGGAUCUAUGGUUCGUAAACUUCUUUUGCAGGGGAAUAAAGUGCAGGACGUGUCCUGUUUUGUAUGUACCCUGAGAAUAAGGAUCGGCUAACUCCGUGCCAGCAGCCGCGGUAAUACGGAGGAUACGAGCGUUAUCCGGAUUUAUUGGGUUUAAAGGGUGCGUAGGUGGUUUGAUAAGUCAGCGGUGAAAGUUUGCAGCUUAACUGUAAAAAUGCCGUUGAAACUGUCGGACUUGAGUGUAAAUGAGGUAGGCGGAAUGCGUGGUGUAGCGGUGAAAUGCAUAGAUAUCACGCAGAACUCCGAUUGCGAAGGCAGCUUACUAAGCUACAACUGACACUGAAGCACGAAAGCGUGGGGAUCAAACAGGAUUAGAAACCCUGGUAGUCC